UGGACGCAAGUCUGAGGGAGCGACGCCGCGUGCGGGAUGAAGGCCUUCGGGUUGUAAACCGCGUUAGGGGGGAGGAAGCCGCAAGGUUGACCUAUCCCCAAAAUAAGCACGGGCUAAGUUCGUGCCAGCAGCCGCGGUAAGACGAACCGUGCGAACGUUGUUCGGAAUCACUGGGCUUAAAGGGCGCGUAGGCGGUCUGCCAAGUCGGUGGUGAAAUCUUUCGGCUCAACCGGAAAACUGCCUUCGAUACUGGCAGGCUGGAGGGAGGUAGGGGUUGCGGGAACUACCAGUGGAGCGGUGAAAUGCGUUGAUAUUGGUAGGAACGCCGGUGGCGAAAGCGCGCAACUGGACCUCUUCUGACGCUGAGGCGCGAAAGCUAGGGGAGCAAACGGGAUUAGAUACCCCGGUAGUCCUAGCCUUAAACGAUGAGAACUAGGUUGUGGACUUGACAUGGGUUCACAGCCGAAGCAAAAGUGCUAAGUUCUCCGCCUGGGGAGUAUGGUCGCAAGGCUG
Molecule: ribosomal RNA, 513 nt
Filed under: uncultured Planctomycetota bacterium
Lineage: Bacteria; Pseudomonadati; Planctomycetota
Description: bacterial SSU rRNA
Rfam family: Bacterial small subunit ribosomal RNA
Source: RNAcentral